GAUCAACAUGAAACGUGCAACACGACAACAAAAGAAAGUGACAGAAAGCAAAAAUGAGGAUAAGAAUUCCAAAGUUGGAAUAAAGAAAACACCAACUUUCAAGUAUGAAAGAGGCAACACAUCAAAAGAUUCUGACGACCAAAAAGUAAACGCAUCAGAAAGUCUGUAUGCAAAGCAGAAGAAAGUGACAGAAAGCAAAAUUGAUGAAAAAAAUUCCAAAGUUGGAAAAAAGGAGACACAAAAUUCCAAGAAUGGAAGAAGCAACACGUCACAAGGUUCUGACCACCAAAAAGUAAAUGCGUUAAAAAAUCUGUCUGCAAAGCAGGUAAGAAUCGAAAUCUACUAUUAAUAAUUAUUUUGGAUUUUCCAAGUCUUCUAAAGUUUUAUUCAGAAAUAGGACUGUAAGUUUUUGUCUAUUAUAUUUAAAACAUGAAACUAAUGAGCUAACUGGAAACGAAAAUGCUUUGGUUCUUCUCUCAUAUUGUCAAAAAAGUGUACUGUCCAAAAUACAUGUGUUUAAAUGAGGAUUGGGAGUAGUGACAUCAAAAAGCAGUGCUUCUAUGUGUUUUUGGCUCUGUUUCAAAACAAUUUUACUCACUAUGUUCCGACAAUAUUGAAAAAGAAUAUAAUUCAAUUUUUUUUGUAAUCAAUAAAUGCCAAUAAUAUAGAGUACUACCCUCAGUACAUGCGUUUAAAUGAAGAUUUCGGGUAGUGACAUCAAAACUUGCUGUUUUUAUGCGUUUUUAUCUAAAUUUCAAAACAAUUUUAAACCACUAUUUUCCACCAGAAAAACAUACGCAAUAAAUAUGUGUUUUCUCUGUUGAAACAGUAGUUUUGAGACAUUUUAAACUCUUUUCUUUGGAAAUUAGAAAAAAUUCACUUAGAGAGAUCGUCCUCCAAUCUCUCAAUUAUACUUGGAUGGAAUUGAGACUCGUAUCAAGUGCAGAAAAGAUUUUUUUCUUUUUUUUACCACAGUGUUUUAUGUAUGAAGAGAAUAAAAUGUGUAUUACUUUACAGCAAUAUUUUUCUAAGACCCUUAAUAUUAUAUAGGUGUCUCAGGAAUUAUUGCGCCAAUAUAGAUUCCGUCCGUUAAAACAAAAUGAUUUUUUCCUAUCAAGUAAAACAUUGUAUGUCUUUUAUAAACUAUAUACGUUUUAAAACAUUUAUGUUUUGAUACUAACAUGCAUAUUUGGAUUUGUAGUCAUGUGCUUAAAAUAAACCAACAUUUUUACCAAUAUAUGUUUUGUGUAUAUUUUCAUCUAAUACAAAUGGAUUUUUUUAUUAUUACCAUAUUUUUAAUUAGGAAAUUUUUAAAAUAAAGGUGAUUGUUUCAAGUGUCGGGACGAGAAAAUGGAAUUCCAACCAAAUAUUUUUACACUUUAUUUCCUCUAGUUAAGACUACAAAAAUUUACUACGUACAUUCUCAGAUUAUCCAAUUAUUUACAGAUAACCAAAAUGCCCACCAUGACCCCAUGGUCGACUCUUCCAGCACGUACGUGGUGGAGCUAACAGCUUGUUUCAUCCUUGUUUUUCCACUGUAAAACUCAAAGGUGAGUUUCGCACACUGAUCCGAACGUUCAUACGGCGUUUUUCCUAAGCACGGCAGAAUACGUAAGUACCUCCGCCUUUAAAAUGUCGAAAUGCGAGCCGGUCGCCGAAGCCGGCGAAAACGAGGUUAUACCCGCGAAUGAUAUUCUGUCACGUUCCGCGCUCGGCUGGCACAAUAUUUACUUGGGCUCACAUGCAAGCCGACGCGCAGAAACCGCCCAUCCUGCGCGGAAACCGAAUCAGAG
Molecule: long non-coding RNA, 1793 nt
Filed under: Bemisia tabaci
Lineage: Eukaryota; Metazoa; Arthropoda; Insecta; Hemiptera; Aleyrodidae
Description: lncRNA ENSSSA1NGG009635
Source: RNAcentral